AAUAUUAAAGGCAACGCCUGCCCAGUGAACAAUUAAACGGCCGCGGUACCCUAACCGUGCAAAGGUAGCAUAAUCAUUUGUCUACUAAUUAUAGACCUGUAUGAAAGGCAAAAUGAGGGUCUAACUGUCUCUUUUGAUUAAUCCAUUAAACUGAUCUCCCAGUAAAAAAGCUGGGAUAACCACAUAAGACCAGAAGACCCUGUGAAGCUUAAACUAAACUAUUAAACCCUAUAAUAAAUACUUUCGGUUGGGGCGACCUUGGAAAAAAAAAGAACUUCCAAACACGUCUACUUACUAGACACCCACAGGCCAACAAGCCAACUAACGACCCAGCACAGCUGACAAUUGAACCAAGUUACUCCAGGGAUAACAGCGCAAUCUUCUUCAAGAGCCCAUAUCAAAAGGAAGGUUUACGACCUCGAUGUUGGAUCAGGACAUCCUAAUGGUGCAGCCGCUAUUAAGGGUUCGUUUGUUCAACGAUUAACAGUCCUACGUGAUC
This 499-nucleotide ribosomal RNA is filed under the name Boiga multomaculata. Its description in RNAcentral is "partial large subunit ribosomal RNA". It matches the Rfam family "Bacterial large subunit ribosomal RNA", at positions 1842 to 2605 of the family's 2925-position model. Lineage: Eukaryota; Metazoa; Chordata; Lepidosauria; Squamata; Colubridae. The record is from RNAcentral.